This is a long non-coding RNA of Pseudopipra pipra, 752 nucleotides long. RefSeq lists it as uncharacterized. The transcript is spliced from 3 exons. The record is from RefSeq and is a predicted model, not a curated record. NCBI's taxonomy places the organism in Eukaryota, Metazoa, Chordata, Aves, Passeriformes, Pipridae.
GGUGGGACUGGCUGGACUCUGGAUUGCUCUCUCUGGAUGUGUGGCUCUCCCCUCAGGAACUCCAGGAACUCCUGGUGCCGCCUGGGCCGAUGGAUUGGACGCCCCAGCCCCUCCGUUCCUGCCCAGCCACUGGGUCCGUGUCCAGUGGUGGCACUGCCAGCCCUGCAGUGGGAUGUAACCUGGAAACUGCAGAGAGUUGAGCCAAGGGAUUGAAAGGGACUAACCAAGGGAGGUGAAGAAAGAAGGAAGAAGGGAAGUGAGGCAGCAGGCAAGCAGCAGCAAGUUGCUGUGUAAGCAGGUGAGUUGUGUUGAGGUUCCUAAGGCAGGCACUGAGGACUUUGAGGGCUCCAGACAGAGCAGACCUGGGAAGGCCCUUGGUGAAGCCCCUUGGAAACCUUCUAAGGGUAGGUGUGUAUGGUAAUAAGUGUUGGAAAAUGUCCUGAAUAUGGAACAGGAAUGCAGGGAAGGAAAAUGAAUCCUCCUGUAAUGCUGCCAUAUCAGCUGCAGUGGAGAUACCUGUGUGCCCUUUGGGAGCUGAUUGCCAGGACUCCUGGCGGGCUGGAAUGGUUUAAGAGCAUAGGAAUUAAAGAUUGCCUGGCUUCUAAACCUCUCCAACUGAGACUUAGAGGCUUCUUUGAAGAGCUGAGUUGAGGCAGGAAAAUUGGCCCUGCAGGAGGGACUCUGUGCCUGCUCUCCCGUGGCUCCAAGGGAUCUCUGGCCCUUCACGCCGGCACCGAGAUUUUCUCGGGAAG